Molecule: unclassified non-coding RNA, 362 nt
Filed under: uncultured fungus
Lineage: Eukaryota; Fungi
Description: partial contains ITS1, 5.8S rRNA and ITS2
Source: RNAcentral
AACGCAUAUUGCGCUCGCGGCUUCGGCCAAGAGCAUGUCUGCCUCAGCAUCGGGUUAAUAUCACUACCUUACACAUAGUGCAAGGCAAGUGGAUCUGGCCGUCCCAGUGACUGGCGCCCAGGGGAUUGGUGCUUAACUGCGCCCUUUGCCUGUGUGCCUAUUCGAUCUGGGUCGGCUGAAAAGCAGAGCGCUGGCCAAGGACCCGCUAUGGGGCCGCAACUGGGUAGGUUACUUUCCCUUCGCGGGGAUUAUAACUAACGCUUAGUUGUUGGUCUUGGGACCCUUUGUGCCUGGCCCACAACCCAGGAAACCAACCUUAUUUCCUCGAUCUGAGCUCAGGCAAGAACACCCGCUGAACUUAA